GCCCAGGUAUAAUAAACACUAAAGGGGGAAAAAUUGAAAAGAGCUGCCACUGGUCAACACAGAAGGGCAGUUCCAGCUUAGGUUGGUGUCUUUCUUUUUCUUCCAAUUUUUAGUUUGUAUUCAUAAGUGGUUUUUAAAAGCCUUUUUUAAAGUGUAAUUUGCAUGUUCUACUUUGAUUGUAUGUAAACAUAUUUUAGAACAAAAA
RNAcentral lists this long non-coding RNA (205 nucleotides) under Bos taurus (domestic cattle). RNAcentral's name for it is "long non-coding RNA NONBTAT015164". The record is from RNAcentral. Lineage: Eukaryota; Metazoa; Chordata; Mammalia; Artiodactyla; Bovidae.